This 455-nucleotide ribosomal RNA is filed under the name Helicobacter pylori. RNAcentral describes it as "partial 23S ribosomal RNA". It matches the Rfam family "Bacterial large subunit ribosomal RNA", at positions 1665 to 2129 of the family's 2925-position model. The record is from RNAcentral. Lineage: Bacteria; Pseudomonadati; Campylobacterota; Epsilonproteobacteria; Campylobacterales; Helicobacteraceae.
AGAUGAGAUGAGUAUUCUAAGGCGCGUGAAAGAACUCUGGUUAAGGAACUCUGCAAACUAGCACCGUAAGUUCGCGAUAAGGUGUGCCGCAGCAAUGCGGUCUCAGCAAAGAGUCCCUCCCGACUGUUUACCAAAAACACAGCACUUUGCCAACUCGUAAGAGGAAGUAUAAGGUGUGACGCCUGCCCGGUGCUCGAAGGUUAAGAGGAUGCGUCAGUCGCAAGAUGAAGCGUUGAAUUGAAGCCCGAGUAAACGGCGGCCGUAACUAUAACGGUCCUAAGGUAGCGAAAUUCCUUGUCGGUUAAAUACCGACCUGCAUGAAUGGCGUAACGAGAUGGGAGCUGUCUCAACCAGAGAUUCAGUGAAAUUGUAGUGGAGGUGAAAAUUCCUCCUACCCGCGGCAAGACGGAGAGACCCCGUGGACCUUUACUACAACUUAGCACUGCUAAUGGGAA